Molecule: ribosomal RNA, 403 nt
Filed under: uncultured bacterium
Lineage: Bacteria
Description: partial 16S ribosomal RNA
Rfam family: Bacterial small subunit ribosomal RNA
Source: RNAcentral
UGGGGAAUAUUGCACAAUGGGCGAAAGCCUGAUGCAGCAACGCCGCGUGAGGGACGACGGCCUUCGGGUUGUAAACCUCUUUUAGCAAGGAAGAAGCGAAACGUGACGGUACUUGCAGAAAAAGCGCCGGCUAACUACGUGCCAGCAGGCCGCGGUAAUACGUAGGGCGCAAGCGGUUAUCCGGAAUUAUUGGGCGUAAAGAGCUCGUAGGCGGUUUGUCGCGUCUGCUGUGAAAACCCGAGGCUCAACCUCGGGCCUGCAGUGGGUACGGGCAGACUAGAGUGCGGUAGGGGAGAUCGGAACUCCUGGUGUAGCGGUGGAAUGCGCAGAUAUCAGGAAGAACACCGAUGGCGAAGGCAGAUCUCUGGGCCGUAACUGACGCUGAGGAGCGAAAAGGGUGGGG